CUGAUGCAGCGACGCCGCGUGAGCGAUGAAGUAUUUCGGUAUGUAAAGCUCUAUCAGCAGGGAAGAUAAUGACGGUACCUGACUAAGAAGCACCGGCUAAAUACGUGCCAGCCGCCGCGGUAAU
RNAcentral lists this ribosomal RNA (124 nucleotides) under uncultured bacterium. RNAcentral describes it as "partial 16S ribosomal RNA". It matches the Rfam family "Bacterial small subunit ribosomal RNA", at positions 383 to 524 of the family's 1533-position model. The record is from RNAcentral.